This 548-nucleotide ribosomal RNA is filed under the name Crossodactylodes bokermanni (Bokermann's stream froglet). RNAcentral's name for it is "partial 16S ribosomal RNA". It matches the Rfam family "Bacterial large subunit ribosomal RNA", at positions 1797 to 2557 of the family's 2925-position model. The record is from RNAcentral. Lineage: Eukaryota; Metazoa; Chordata; Amphibia; Anura; Leptodactylidae.
CGCCUGUUUAUCAAAAACAUCGCCUCUUGUACCCCAAUAAGAGGUCCAGCCUGCCCAGUGACCCUGUUUAACGGCCGCGGUAUCCUAACCGUGCGAAGGUAGCGUAAUCACUUGUUCUUUAAAUAAGGACUAGUAUGAAUGGCAUCACGAAGGUUAUACUGUCUCCUUUCUCUAAUCAGUGAAACUAAUCUCCCCGUGAAGAAGCGAGGAUAUACAUAUAAGACGAGAAGACCCUAUGGAGCUUUAAACUUUGAUCAACCGCCACUGACUUUGCUAAUUUCAGAAAAUCAAAUUUAAACCCAACACCCUUGAUUUAAAGUUUUCGGUUGGGGUGACCACGGAGUAAAAUUUAACCUCCGCGCUGAAAGGACUUAAAACCUUAGCUAAGAGCUACGACUCUACGCAUCAACAACUUGACACUAAUUGACCCAAUAUAUUGACCAACGAACCAAGUUACCCUAGGGAUAACAGCGCAAUCCACUCCAAGAGCCCCUAUCGACGAGCGGGUUUACGACCUCGAUGUUGGAUCAGGGUAUCCCAGUGGUGUA